GAAAAUGGAAAUGAAUGCUGCUGGUUUUACAAGUGUCCUAAAAACGUGCUUUAGUGGAUGGGUGCUUUUGUGUAGCCAGUAUAGUUGUGGCUCUUCACUUCAAUCAUUUGGAUUUCUAAAAGUGAGAUUGAUACCAUUGCCAGCAUAUUGCAGUGCUACUGACCACCGGAAACACACGGUACUUGCCAAGCCUUUCUUUGUAACACCUUGUAAAUUCCUGGAUUCGUAACUGUUUAAUGUGGCAAGUUGCGCAAAAUUUUCAUCUCAAGUCAGGAUACAUGAGAAAUUGUCAAAUCGAAAAGCCAAUUGUAAAACAAAAAAAAAUACAAAAAAAAUGGAGUUUGCAGAUGUGUGCAGACGAAGUACCUGCAAGAUAUUAAAAGAGAUAUCAAUGAAUACUUCAAUGGUUGAUCACCACUAAGUUAUUUUUGUUAAACGGCAAGAGAGAUGUCUAACAAACUCUCAAAGCAAAUAUUUCCUUCCUUUAGAAGUUGGAAACAUCGAAUGAAAUGGAAACGAUUUUAGCCGUAAUAAGAACAGAGCAUGCGUAUUAGCAAACUAUAAACAUAAAGCUGCUGUCUGGUGAAGUAGAAACGCGGGCGACGUCAUCCGUGCCAAAGCAACAGAGUUCAGACGACGUUUGGAAGGCUGCCCAGGCGAAGGUAAAAACUGUUUCUUCCUUUCAAGACAACGUCGGGUUUCUUUUGUGACAAAAAGUAAAUUGAAUUAUCGAACAGAAGACCAAUUUCGUAAGAGACCGGUAAAAAUUGUACUUUGGUCAAUUGUAUAAACAUUAUACAUCGUCAACGCAUUAGAAUUUAGUCUGCGUAUAUUAUUGAGUUAUAUUCACCCUUAUACUGAGUUGGUAAAGCAUUGAAAAAGUAUACAACGCCAACUAACGACAACGGACUAAAAAUGUGCAACAUGAAAUUAUUUCGUAUUGAUCGGAGUACCGCUCAUGAGGAAGACAAUCAUCUGGACGAAGCCGGUGUCAACGCUGUGCCGAUUGUUAACGAAAUUGGGCAAACGCUCGCUCAUAUUGGGGACAAUCUGAAUGAACAAGCUCUAAGAAAAUGCAAACACUUGCAGCUAGCUGCUUUUGGGAUUAUUCUCACAUUUGCAACUAUCGUUACGCUGAAUAACUGUGCUUAAUAUGUAGCAAUUUGUCUAUACGAAAGUAACAUUUGGUUCGCGAAGGAUAUGUGCAUGUAUCAAUUUGCCAUGCAAGACAAUGAGAAAAGUCAAGGGUAUUCCCUUGCCGCGGACGAAAUUUUUGUAAAUAGUUUUGUAAAUUUUGGAAUUCAUAGGCUGUAUUUCGACAGCAUAAUAUACAUAUAUAGCUUUACUUGUGGUGAAAGGGGAUAUAGACUUAAAUAUAGUAUCUGUGUUAUAUUGUAGCUUGUCCGAACAAGCGCCGAUGACUAUG
This is a long non-coding RNA of Dendronephthya gigantea, 1426 nucleotides long. RefSeq lists it as uncharacterized. The transcript has 3 exons. Lineage: Eukaryota; Metazoa; Cnidaria; Anthozoa; Malacalcyonacea; Nephtheidae. The record is from RefSeq and is a predicted model, not a curated record.